CAGUAGCCACGGGAAUACGAAGGGUGCAAGCGUUACUCGGAAUUACUGGGCGUAAAGCGUGCGUAGGUGGUGGUUUAAGUCCGUUGUGAAAGCCCUGGGCUCAACCUGGGAAUUGCAGUGGAUACUGGAUCACUAGAGUGUGGUAGAGGAUAGUGGAAUUUCCGGUGUAGCAGUGAAAUGCGUAGAGAUCGGAAGGAACAUCUGUGGCGAAGGCGACUAUCUGGGCCAACGCUGACGCUGAGGUGCGAAAGCGUGGGGAGCAAACAGGAUUAGAUACCCCCGUAGUCCCUGUCUCUUAUAC
Molecule: ribosomal RNA, 301 nt
Filed under: uncultured bacterium
Lineage: Bacteria
Description: partial 16S ribosomal RNA
Rfam family: Bacterial small subunit ribosomal RNA
Source: RNAcentral